RNAcentral lists this unclassified non-coding RNA (433 nucleotides) under Hevea brasiliensis (rubber tree). The record is from RNAcentral. Lineage: Eukaryota; Viridiplantae; Streptophyta; Magnoliopsida; Malpighiales; Euphorbiaceae.
GUUCUCUUGCAGUCGCAUACCAGGUGAGUUUGUCACCCAUCACCCAUGAAGAAAAAUAAGACGCAACAUACAUGGGUUCUAACUUAUAUUCAUGCAACUAAUAUUUGUCUCCCUAGUCAACUAUAUAAUCACAUAAUGAAUAUGAACAUUAAAGAUUAGUUCACGGUCUAUAUGUGGAAACAAAUAGUUCCACAACUUGUUUGUAAUGAGAGUCUCCAAAAAUUAAGAACCAAGCCAAACUUGCACACACAAAUGCUCACCUUUUGUUACACCUUAAAAAAGGCUUGUAAGGCUCUUCUAUAUACCAUUCAAAGUGUGCCAACCUUCUUGCCAAAUGAUGCAUUUCUUCUUGCAUUACAGAUCCAAUGUACAUGACUUUUGAGUUUUGCCACCUUUUUAGCAAUGUAUAUGACUUUUGGAUUUUAAGUCUAAU